CGGCCUUAUCCUCAUACCGUGAAGAUAAUUCUCAUAUUUUCUUCUCUUUCAUUCUUAUUCUUCUUUCUUAUUCUCUCAUCAUCUUCUUCUUCUGUUCUUCGCCUCUAGCGAUUCUAUGAGAUUUCUGAGGCUGUGAGGUCACGAGAAUUAGACAAGUUAUCAGAGACGGGUGCUGGAGGUGGUGAUUGAUGUUUACUGGUUUCGAGAAAAGAAGGUGUUGAUGCUGUUAUAAUCAGAAAUUAAGGUUUUUAGAUUAAGACUCAAUUUUAUACGAAGUUGUUAAGUAAUUGAGUUUUUAUCGGUUAAAUAAAGAGGGGGUUGUUGUUCGAUUGAACUGGUGAGAUUGUUUUGAAGUUGUAUUGAGGAGUUAGGGUUUCCUAAGAUGAACCAAAGAAGGAUUGGAAGAUGAAAUUGAGGCUUUAGAAGAUUAAUUGGAGAUGUGUCUUGUAAAUUGAGAACAACGAGACCAUUUAGUAUUCAAUUUCCGAUUCACAGUGAAGAAAAGGUGAAUUAAGGUUUCAUGUUCUUCCCCAAUUUAAGAACUAGAGUUUAGGGAAUUGAACUGGCAGGGAGGUGAUGGUGUUGAAGCAAGUGAAUUGAGGUAAUUGUUUCCUGUGUAAAUUUGGUAAAAAUAUUUCUUGUUGUUGUGGUUUUGAUUUUGAUUAUAACAUUGAUAUGGUGAUGAAUGAGGAUUAUUGAGUUAUGUUGAUGUUGUUAGAGAUUGAGCUCAGGUGGUAUGGCUCAACAGAUGUAUAGUGACAUGAGUCAGUGUUGUUGAUCGAUAGUAGUAGUGCUACGGGAGAAGUUUAGGAUGUAGUGAGUGAUAUUAUUGAAGCUUAGAUUUAUGGAGUAUGAGAUACAAGUAAUUAGAAUUGUAACUUGUGCUGAUUUGAUGUAAAGAACCUGGGUUUGCAGUUGGAGUUAUUUUUGUUGUGUUCAAGUACAAGGGAAUGGACAUAUGUUAGAUGGUGUAUGUAAUCGGAACCGUAGGUGGUAUUGUUUUGUUGUGCAGUAUUUGAAUUUAUGGAAUGCAGGUUGUGGUUGUAAUGGAACUGAGUUUGAAUGAGGUUGUGAGAGUUUGUAAUUGAGUUGUCCAACUGCAGUUGCAGGUGAUUGAUCUGUUGGAUGAAUUGUGGUAGAUAUGGUGUUAUGAGUUGUUGGUUCUGAAAUGGAGGUACAAGUGAUUGGUUUGUUCAUGUUGAGCAUGAAGUAAAAGAACUAAUGCAGAUGUAAUGAAACUGGUGGAGAGGGUUGUAACUGUGUUGAACUGAAUUGCAGAUGUAGACUGAGUUUUGUGUGUUUGAGUUAUAGAUGAGGAUGAUAUGCUGAGAUGUAAAACUAGAUGGCGAUGGUGUUUAGUUGGAUAGUGACUGUUGUGAAUAGCUUGGAACUGCAAUUGCAGGAUGAACCAGCGGGUCAUGGAUCUCGAGGUAGGCCUGGCUUGUCAUCAAAAGAGGUGGGAAUACAUUUUACUCUUUUUAAACCAUUGUUGUUCCUUUUAUAAAAUUUUAUGUUUAACAAACUCAUGCAUUGUCCGUUUGUGCAUUCCCUGCAUUGUCAGUUUGCAUUAUGAUUGUUCUGUUGAUUCUUUCAAUCUUUCCAUGAUUUGGAAAGGACUUGUAUGUUUGUUGUCAUCAAGAACUGUUAUGGGAAAUGAGAAUUUCCACACGUGGUAUAUAGGAUGCGUUCCUUCACAUUUGUUCCUAUUAUAAGUUUAUUCGGUGUGGAAUUGGCAUCAAUAUUACUAUUCGGUGUGGAAUGGCAUCAAUAUUAUACAUUGUUUGACGAA
Papaver somniferum (opium poppy) is the source of this 1789-nucleotide long non-coding RNA. RefSeq lists it as uncharacterized. NCBI's taxonomy places the organism in Eukaryota, Viridiplantae, Streptophyta, Magnoliopsida, Ranunculales, Papaveraceae. The transcript has 2 exons. The record is from RefSeq and is a predicted model, not a curated record.